This is a long non-coding RNA of Lutra lutra (Eurasian river otter), 2379 nucleotides long. RefSeq lists it as uncharacterized. NCBI's taxonomy places the organism in Eukaryota, Metazoa, Chordata, Mammalia, Carnivora, Mustelidae. The record is from RefSeq and is a predicted model, not a curated record. The transcript is spliced from 3 exons.
AAUAAAUCCAGCCUUACAGGCAAAGUUCUGAUGUCAAGUCCAAGGGAGCAUAAAGCUAAAUAUGAGCUACAUAGUGACAUGAAUAAGUAGCUGUAUAGAAACUGGGCAGUGGAAGUCAAGGCCAGAAGAUCCACGUCAUUGUUGAACACAGCAGCCUGUGUGUGUCUGAAUGGGAUGCCUGGACCUUUGGCAAACAUCUUGGGACCAUAGGAUCCAGGCUGCCUGCUGAGAAGGGCAGAGUGGAGAAAGAGAGAAUCUGGGUCCUUGACAAUUACACUGAGCUGCUUUACCUCCUGCUUCUCCCUCGUCCAGACUUUCAGUCAGACAUGAUUGCUUCAAACAGGAAGGCUAAUAGGGCCUGCAGUUUCACCGGAAUCCCCUGUCUUUGAGAACAAGGCCUUAGUCCUCUCGUAGAGGCUCUGUGAAGGGAGGAGGAGUGAUCAGACACACGGAUGGAUGCCAAUAGGACUGGGGGGUUGGGGAUGGUCUGUGUCCCAGAAGGGUCUGUCCACAGUGAUCCCUCGUCUCUGCAACCUGCACCAGGCCCACACCUACACAGCCUGAAACCCUAAGGGCAAUAAUUUCUCCCACUAUCCCUGCCUGGAAGCCUUGUGCUGGUAACUGCCCCUUCUAGCAUGUCCAGGACCCUGGAGAAAUGUUCUGAGAAGGCAUGGAAAGUGCUGUGAAAGGGACACACACACACAUGCACACACACACCCUCCACACCACACAACUGCCUCUGCCCUCUCCCUGUCUCCUCUUCUUCAGGUUUCUAAGCAGCUGAAGGUACUUACUGUCCAGGGAUGUGGAUUCUCUGGGGAAAAGUGCUUUUAUUCCUCAUGAUCCUGGGUGUCUUAGGAAUUUGGCAUAUCCAAGCGUGGUGCCGUUUUAAAAUAUAGUGUAUUAAUAGGAAAGUGAGAUUAAGUAAGGCUCACAGAUUGGGAGAUGACUGCUGUUGGAGAAAAGCUUAUUACUCACCGUUUCCAAGGGGAGGGGUCAUCCCACUCCAUGGGAGACAGAGAAGGGGGGACACAUGGAAAAGUACUGUGGUAGGUCAAGGGGCGGCAGAAAGGGAGGAACUCCCGGCCAGAGCCUCCAUCCCGGUUUCCCUGGGAGAGGACAGGCAAGGCAGGACAGCAGGUUUGGGAUUGGCUAGUUUAAAGGAUAUCAGCGGCUCUGAGGCAAAAGAGUUGUGGCCAGUUGCCUGAUACCUGGCCCUGGGUCCACAGGGCUGAGGUGAGAUCAAGGAGAGGGUAGAGGAGGAGUGGGUUCUGGAUUGGUUGGCUUGUAUUUGAAAAGCACAGCAAGCUGCUUUCCUACAUGAAGGAGUUGGCUAGUCCUGAGAGGGGCUGUCCCUCCAGGGUCAGCAAGGCCCCCAAGGUCAAAAUAUCAGAAUACACAGAAUGUGUCUUGGUUCCAUAGAGCUGCUAUAACAAAAAUGCCGCGGACUGGGGGAACUUCAUUUAUUUCUCACAGAUCUGAAGGCUGGAGGGCUAGGAUCAGGGUGCUGGCAUGUUCAGUGUCAUGUGAAAGUCUGCUUCCUGAUUCACAGACAGCAGCCUUCUUGACGUGUCCUCACAAGGAAGAAGGAGUGAGAGUUCUCUGGGGUCUCUUCUAUAAGGCUCGGCAAUCACACUCCUCACCCCCUCCUAAUCGAACCAACCUCCCAAAGGCCCCAACUCCUGAUACCAUCACCUGAGGAAUUAGGAUUUCAACAUGUGACUUUGGGGGGACACAAACAUUCCAUCCACAGCUAUACUAUGACGUGUGCUGGUUUGCAAGAUGGCCACUGUGGUUUGCUUCCCCUCCUGUAGGAGAAAGCCAUUCCCCCCCUGAGAGGAGAAAUCCAUUCCCCUUCUGUUUUAGAAUAUGAGCUGGAAUGUGGUUGCUCUGACAACAAAAUGCAGUCGAAGUAACAUGGGGUGACUUCUGAAGCUAGAUCAUAGGAAGCUUUGCAGCUCCCAACUAGAUCUCUUGGAAUAUUUGCUCAGGAAGUAACUAGUCACUGUGAAACAGUUUGGCUGUCCUGAGGCUGUCAUACUGAGAGGGAGCCCAUCUGAGUCACUGGGAGACAUCUUAGCCCCAGCUGUUCCCAACAUCUGAGGUGCCAGACAGAAGACAGAAGAUGAUGCCUUCCUCACCUGCCAUCUCAUUGCGACCAUAUGAGGGACCCGAAGGAGGAACUGCCCAUCGACCCUCAGAACCACCAGAAGUAAUAGUACAUUGUUGUUUUAAACCCCUAACUCUUAGAGUGGUUAUGAAGGAAGAAAUAAUUGAAACAUGAUAGGAAUCACGAAAUGUAGCACAUUUUCGUGGAUGUGGCAUACACUAUUUAUUGCCUAUGCAAUAACUCUUUUCCCUUCUUCCUUCCUAACAGAA